CAUUGGCUGCAGGGCGCGCGGCGCAGCUGUUCUGAUUAUCAUAUUUCAGCCUCGCCGCCGCUGAGCGCCACUGACCGCUCGGCGAGCCAGCGGGAGAGGAUUAGGGCUCCCGAGGCAACUUGCUCGGGGCUCAGGCCGUUCUCCCCCGAAGCUCGGGCUGCCGGGCUGUUCUGGCUCUGGCCUCCCUCUCCUCCUCUUCCUCUUCCUUCUGUCCCCUCCCGCGUUCCUUCCCGGCCGCGCCGCCUGCGCCCUCGCCUCCUGUGGCGCUGCUCCUCCGCCCUGCGCUCCUGGGGUCCCCGCAGUCCGGCUGGCCGCGUUGCGCGCGGGGCUCACUUUCUGCCGCCGGUGGCGAGUGGCUGAACUCCUAAGUGACCAGGAACAGACGAUUUUUAACCGAGUUCUGCUGCGUGGAGCCCAGGUUGGCGCUAGUGAGUGCAGUGUGCUGACCCAAGUGGUGGUGGCCCAAGGACGCGCUGACCCGUACAUUUGGCAAAGCUUUCAUUAAAUGUAUCAGAUUCUCGCGGAAGUGGUUGCAGUCCGGAGAGUGAAACAGCUAUCUCUCAAGUCCUGACCGGUUCAGCUGAAAUCUACAUUUGCACUGAAUCUGGCAAAACACGGACGGGUCCGCCCGAGAUCUCAGGAAACCCAGAGCAAGUUACCUCCAUGUAGUUGAUCAUUCUUUCUGAAAGGACGGACACCAUUUACCCCACUGCAAUCCUGUCCAACGGGCAGCUCUGAGUUUAGCUUUAGCGCCAAAGGAUUGAUUUCCCCCACCCGCUGGAGAUUUACUGGGGACGAGCGGGGGAGGGGAGGCGAAGGUACCUCGGAGGAGGUCAAGUGGGGGAGGAGGAGGAGCAGCAGAAAAUUACCAGCCAAGCAGGGGAGGGAGUUGGAAGCCCGGAAAUAUACCAGGAUGCCUCAAGUAACCUUCCUUUAAGUCUCAGAAUUCAGCCCUCGGAAAACAGCCUCAUAAGGUGUCCUGGGAAGGAGUCCUCGGGUGGGCUGCGGAGGUGAUGUCAAGAGUUACAGCUACUUUAUGAAUUAAACUGACGGCUAAGGCAUGUCGGGACAGUUUAGUGUAAGCUGAAUGGUGCGUGGACGGGGCAACUUUUAAAGAGAGGUGGGCAAUCAUUGGUGGCAUCUACCAGUAUAUUCUGCAUGUAACAGUAGUUUGGAAGCUGAAGAAAAACCCCUCAAAUCCCAGUAAAUGCCCGGUCAGUUCGAGAGAGAUUUUAGGGACAAUUUUGAAGGUCGCUGUCUGCUCCAACUCCGCAGAGAUGAACAAGAGUGUGAACUCUGGCGCGGGUGUGUUUAGAAUUAUCUACGACUUCAGAUCCAUGCUGUUGAAACUCAUCAAUUCUUUGUGACUUCACGUGGAGAGAAGAAUUUGCCCUGCCUCCCUACCUGCUAAAUGCCGACUGAGAAAAGGGGCCCAGGAGACGACCCCUUUCAGAAAGAACGUCACUUCAUCAACUCGGCUGAGUUAUUAACUUGCUCCCCGAAAGGUCAACAACGCCUUCUCUUCUCAGCCGCACCGCGCGGAGAUCAAUCGCUUUACCCUAGGUAGCCUCUUGUUCAGGGCUCAGGAACUCCUGUCUUAAGGUCCUUCUGGGGCUCAGAAGCUGUGUUGUGUAUGUUCUUUCCAAGAAUCCCACCUGUCUGCUUUCAAGCACACACGGCGCUAGAAAUUUAGCCUAGCCUGAGUCCUGGGAUGAGAGAAGAGCUAAACAAAGAGACCCCAACCGUCCCCUUGGCCCCCUGCCCCGCCGUUUUGCAGUUUGCCAACCUUCUAGCUAGACAGCCCCCUAAGUCUCCGUGUUGCGAGUGAAAGAGAAUUUUUCUAUUUCAUCUUCCCAUUGACCGAAGCAGAAAAAUUGAACCGAAUCUACGCCCCUUGUUCUGAUUCCUGCUAGAGGAAAACAGAAAAUCAUCCCGCAGGUCUCUUUCAGUCCCUGGAUGGCGAGCGCAGCCCCUGGGAGGCCACACUUAGUUCUUUAUUGUGAAUCUCUCGCUACUCAAGUUCGUUCGGGACCAGGGCCUCGGAUGGCCUCGGUUGCCCGUAAGUACGCGAAAGAAGAGGUGAAUCCAAUCGCUGGCCUAGAGGAUAGUGAUCAGACAACCCGAGGAUUACUAAACAAGGGGCGGCGGUGUCCCUGUCUCAUGGGGUUGGCGUGGGGCGGGGGGUAGGCAGCAAGAUCCUCCAGGCUCCUGGAUGCAAAGAGUGAGAAAGAAAGCGCAGCCUCUGGCAGCCUGCUUAUAAAUGCAGCCUUUCGGAAGAUGAAACUUGCAGUCUUAGGUUGUCCUCCUUUAUAUCCAUGUUCCAAUCCUCUGGGCUUUCCUCGAAAUGAAUAAAAUUGUGGAAAUGAAUGAAUGAGAAUAUCA
This 2382-nucleotide long non-coding RNA is filed under the name Homo sapiens (human). RNAcentral describes it as "ISL1 divergent transcript". The record is from RNAcentral. Lineage: Eukaryota; Metazoa; Chordata; Mammalia; Primates; Hominidae.